AUGAACGCUGGCGGCGUGCCUAAUACAUGCAAGUCGAACGAAACUUCUUUAUCACCGAGUGCUUGCACUCACCGAUAAAGAGUUGAGUGGCGAACGGGUGAGUAACACGUGGGCAACCUGCCCAAAAGAGGGGGAUAACACUUGGAAACAGGUGCUAAUACCGCAUAACCAUAGUUACCGCAUGGUAACUAUGUAAAAGGUGGCUAUACUACCGCUUUUGGAUGGGCCCGCGGCGCAUUAGCUAGUUGGUAGGGUAAAGGCUUACCAAGGCAAUGAUGCGUAGCCGAAUUGAGAGGUUGAUCGGCCACAUUGGGACUGAGACACGGCCCAAACUCCUACGGGAGGCAGCAGUAGGGAAUCUUCCACAAUGGGCGAAAGCCUGAUGGAGCAACGCCGCGUGGGUGAAGAAGGUCUUCGGAUCGUAAAACCCUGUUGUUAGAGAAGAAAGUGCGUGAGAGUAACUGUUCACGUUUCGACGGUAUCUAACCAGAAAGCCACUGCUAACUACGUG
This 511-nucleotide ribosomal RNA is filed under the name uncultured bacterium. RNAcentral describes it as "partial 16S ribosomal RNA". It matches the Rfam family "Bacterial small subunit ribosomal RNA", at positions 29 to 507 of the family's 1533-position model. The record is from RNAcentral.